GACAGCUAGAUUGCUCCCAUCCUGUUCCAGCCACUGGAAGCCAAAGGAGCUCUGUGACUCAUCGAAAUUCCUCAUGCCUGUGUCUUGUCUCAGCAGAGAAGCACCAGCAGCUCUAACUCCCUAAUUCUUGAGGCAGGACAGAACUUGUUGGAGAAGUACAGCCUGUCUCCUCUCCAGGAAACCCCUCCUCGCUUCCUCUCUUGAUGCUGAGAUAAAAAGCUGCUGGCAAAGAAGCAGAACCAAACAAGGUUCUGGCAUGGAAAAUGGCUCUCGUAGCACUGCCAGAAGAAGGGAAUGCUGGAAAGAAGAUUCCUGGAGAUGGCUGAACUUCACUUUGCACCAUGCAAGCAGCACAAUGUGAGGCUGAAGAUGAACAGAUCCUGUCUCAAAACCGCUAGGAGAUCGUAGAUGGAGUAACAUAGAAAUGCUUGAAUUUUAUCUAUACCAAUGGAGUAAAAUGUAUUUACUGUAUUUGCAAAGUGACAAGCAGUUCAGUGGAGCUUCAGUAUUAAGUAUCAUUUACACCUGCUUUCUGGCUUGUUAGUGUCAGUGUAAGCAAAAUUCAAGUGUAUAUUGUCUUCUUCACACAGAUACAGGGAAAAAUUCUAGCAUGAAGGCUUUUUGAUGCUAAUAAAAACUGUUUGCCUAAGGACAAACUUCAGAGGAAUGAAAAUUUUACAGUAUCUCCUGAUUUUUGUCAGGCUGACUGUGUGUCACAGAAAUUACUUUUCUUGAGACAUUUCUGUGCUUCUUUCACCAAAACUUAGGAAUUAAAAAAAAAAAAAAAGCAUUCAUAAUGGGCAUGAAAUACUUAUUUUCAGCUAUCUGAAGUACUUGUCAAAUCUCUGGAAAACAUAUGGGGUUUGUCUAUCUUCAAUUUAGGCCCUUAGGUUUCUCCAGAUUUGUGGAUGCUAUCAUUAAUACUUAGUCAUAGCACAGAGCAGCAUUUUUGCUUUACUUCUGUUAGGUUUGGGUGUUUUUCCUGCUGCAAGUGAAAACAGAAAAAUAUUAAGAACCAGAAAUGAAUGUGGAAAAAUCUUUGAAAAUAAACUAACUCCAAUGCUUUAAAUUGUUAGAAAUAAGACAUAUGUAAAUGAUUUGUUUGUGUUUGUUUAAAGAAGUUCUGUUUAAUGUUAAUUUAGUGAAAUUCAACCAUUGCAUAAACUUCUAAGAAUUAUCUGAAGAUUCCUAGGAAGAUUAAUUGGUCUUUUUUUUUUUUUUUGGAAUGGUACUUGCUUGCUACUUUUUGAAAUAAAGUUGAAGAGAAUGAGACUACAUAAAAUUUUGAAUCCUUCUUAACCAACAAAAGAAAACACAAAAUAUAAUGCAAAAUACUUUGGCUGAUUUGACUAAAAUAUGUUUAAUCCCAUGCAGCUGUGCAGAAUUGAAAGUAAGGCGAGCUCCUGAGCACCUUUGUAGACAGCUCUGAGCCCACAGCAAAUCAGUGAUCACAGAAAUGGUCCUGACACUUCUGGACAGGGCUGACUGCAAGCACAGGCAUUUAAAAAAGGGGAGAGCUGCUGGUUAAAAUUAGAUGUCAGUGCAAACCUCCUUGUCUUGCAGUGGAAGUGCUGCAGGGAGAGGAGCACGGCAGCACGUGGUGAAUGCAAGCCUUUGCUGCAGACACCGCUGUGUGCAUGCACGCUGGCACAUGUGCUGCAGAGGCACACAGAAAUACAGGAAUAUACACACGUGCUCAGAAGAUGUGGUUUUCUACGCUCCAGUGGUGCCUCUGUGACUGUUUCACUACAGCCCUGGAUAGACACAGCAGGGUCACUACACACACGGUUACACAGGACUUGUUUUAACCUCAGAUGGGGACAUUCAAAACAAAUUUGUUGCCAGAUCCCAAAACUGUGUCUGUGCAGAAAGGCAGGGAGGAGUGGCAGGGAGCAUAAAAGGCAGGAGGGGAAUCCAGGGGACUUCUUGGUUUCUAGAAAAACACACUCUCCUGCUGAUUGUUCUAGGUUACUCUUCUGCUGAUAAAGUGGAGAUUCUAAAUUGUUAAUUAAAUCAUUAGUAAUUAUUACAGUAUUACCCUAAAAUAAUUUAAAUUAUAUUGAUUCUAUUAAAUUCUAAUGAAUUUAGCAUUAAGUGACAUGUAGGUAUUAGGAAAAUCAGUCUUGAUUAUUUCAUAAAUCUGUAAAGCAAUUCACCUUCAAAACUCUGGGCUAACCCUGGCCAUGUAGCUGCCAAGUGUCUCCAGCUAGUGCUUCUUUUGUAUCAAAUUAAGUCAGUCAGCUCACAGAAAGAAAAUGUUCUUGUUUUCUUUUUUUUCCCCUCAUGUAUAUGUUGCAUGAAUUCUACUUUAACAUGCUGUUCUAGCUACUAAUAAAUAUUCUGCUGAAUUAUUUCCAGAGUAAAUUCUACUUAAAAAUUAAACUCAGGUGACUACCUUUUUUUUUACUUUUCAACUAACAAACUCAAAAAUCAAAUGUAAGCAUGAAGCAAGUACUAAGCUCAGGUCAGAACAUUAACUUAUGGUUGAAGUACCAGCUGCCAGUGAUGUCUGAAUCAGGAAAAAAAUCAACUCAUCUUCUCCCUUUCUAGCAGAGACUUAAAAUUUGAGUUAUUAAAUAAAUAAAUCAUCUUUGCUUAUGCUUGUUAUUUUAAACUAUAUUUACUUCAUUUACAAUAUAAACUGUGCUGUCAUAUUUUGAAAAGCUACUUUCUGGCAGAGAGCUAGACUUUUUCUUUUUGUAAAAAUAAUACACAGCAGCAAAGCUGAAGAUGUCGACUCUUACUGAAAGUGUUUUUUUUUUAAUUAAAGAAAGGCUGCACUACCAAAAAAGAGAGAGUAUGAGGCAGACUGUGCAGAAUCUCUCUGUGUGGGUUGCCUUCCUUGUUACAGGAGCAGAACAGUGAGAACCUUUUCAUCUUUGUCUUUCAAGCAAGGGACACAGACAUGGGAGUUUCAUCUGGGGUACAUCAGAUAAAGAACCACCUCUAGUGUUAUUUACACCCAAAAAUAUAUUCACACACAGAGAUAGUGGUAAUUAAAUUUACUAAUACUUUUAGUGGGAAUUUUCAAAUUCUGAGAUUAUUUUAGAGAUCUUGAAAUAAUUUUAAAUGGUUUUAAGCAAAUAGGAUCUGUUUUAAAAGACAGACAAUACAAGGUUUUAUAAUGUUCUACACUUGAGUGUAUCUUCUGAAAGCAAGAGUCUGUUUUGAGAAAUAAGGCUUGUGCCCAGUGCACAGUCCUUAGCUGGCUAUAGCAGUUUAUCACAGAGAGUUCUUGACACAUAAUCUAAAGUAUAAUACAAAUGCAUUAGACUACCUCUUCAUUUCAGCAAUCUGGUUUUAAUUUUUAUUAGGUCUCUAGAUUAUAUAGGGGCUAUCAAAUAUUCAG
Melospiza georgiana is the source of this 3349-nucleotide long non-coding RNA. RefSeq lists it as uncharacterized. Lineage: Eukaryota; Metazoa; Chordata; Aves; Passeriformes; Passerellidae. The record is from RefSeq and is a predicted model, not a curated record. The transcript is spliced from 3 exons.